Molecule: long non-coding RNA, 1229 nt
Organism: Epinephelus lanceolatus (giant grouper)
Lineage: Eukaryota; Metazoa; Chordata; Actinopteri; Perciformes; Serranidae
Source: RefSeq, a predicted model, not a curated record
UCUGCAUGCUGUCCUGUCCAGCUACCUUGCUCCACAUCCACCCUUAAACUGCAACCCAGCAAGCUGCUAAAUAUCUGGGAGACGGAGCGCUUCUACAUCUCUGCAGUGCAGCCAUGGCCACCACAGAAUCAAUGUUCCCAGACCGAAGUGACUUUGACUAUGUUCCAGCUCCUCUGGUACCCAAAUACCAAAGACAGAGGUGCCUCCUCAAAGUGUAUAGAAAAUAUAACACUUGAAAGGGGAAGAAGUUGUCACAGGAACCCCGCCAGCGAAAACACACAAACACUGGUUGUUUAUGGCCAUCCCUGUUAUGGCUAAUAUACCUCAGCCAGCUGGAUGAUCAAUAUACAGGGUUUUCCAACACAUCCUGACCUGGUUUCAUUGAGCCUCCCACUGAAUUCUGUAGAGAGUCUUACAAUAAUAGCAAUGUACUGUGUAUGUAUCUAAAGAUGGCUCCAAAUUGAGUGGGAAUAAAAGAAGGGGGAAAAAAAAGGAAAAACACUCAAACAUGAGACUUGAUGAGGUACUUUUAAUUUUAAAAAAGCAACAAUCGUUCUCUUACAUUGUACUCAUGUAGAGCAAUAAAAUUAAUAGCAUGAUUAAAUAUUUAUAGAGUACAUCUCCAGGUCAAAACAAAAAAACGCAUGCAUUGAUCAGUUGUAACAGUUAUCUUAUGCCUUUAUCUUUCUUAAUUUUUUUGUUGGUAUCUUGUUUAUUCAGCAUGACAAAAUGAUGAAGACACUGAUAAGAAUAGGCAAAAAACAAGUGGCUACAAUAAAAUAUAAGACAAUGUUUAGCAAUGUAUUUUAUUUUGAAAAUGCUUUGAUCAAUAUUACAAUAGAUGAAAUGUGUAUUUGUUUUAUUAGUAGUAAUUUCUUCUAUUAAAUUCAAAGGCAAUGGUAUUACAAAUUAAAAUGUAUUACCUGUAAAGCUGAAAAAUGAGGCCGCUGUUUCAAAUAAAGGUCUUGUCUACUCAACGUGGUUUUAUCAGUUUAUAAUGAACUUGUUCUUAACGUUAUAUAUAUCUUAAAGUGAUGUAAAUGUAAUGUAGAAAUAAGACAAUAUGUCGUUUACUCAUGAGAUUGAUCUUUCUUUUGUGCUUUAUGGGAAUUCAGCAGAGAUGACACAUAUGUGACACACAACUCAGACCUUAUUUCAGACCUUUGUGACUAACAUUCAUUGUGAUGGUGGAAAAUGGGCUUGAAAAAUAAAAAUUCUUUACACCAUCA